RNAcentral lists this ribosomal RNA (253 nucleotides) under uncultured bacterium. RNAcentral describes it as "partial 16S ribosomal RNA". It matches the Rfam family "Bacterial small subunit ribosomal RNA", at positions 524 to 776 of the family's 1533-position model. The record is from RNAcentral.
UACGUAGGGCGCGAGCGUUGUCCGGAAUUAUUGGGCGUAAAGAGCUCGUAGGCGGCUUGUCACGUCGGGUGUGAAAGCCCGGGGCUUAACCCCGGGUCUGCAUUCGAUACGGGCUGGCUAGAGUGUGGUAGGGGAGAUCGGAAUUCCUGGUGUAGCGGUGAAAUGCGCAGAUAUCAGGAGGAACACCGGUGGCGAAGGCGGAUCUCUGGGCCAUUACUGACGCUGAGGAGCGAAAGCGUGGGGAGCGAACAGG